This 1010-nucleotide long non-coding RNA is filed under the name Triticum aestivum (bread wheat). Its description in RNAcentral is "long non-coding RNA (TAES_LNC003876)". The record is from RNAcentral. Lineage: Eukaryota; Viridiplantae; Streptophyta; Magnoliopsida; Poales; Poaceae.
UUCAUCACCCAACUUUCACAAUACUUUCCAAAUAUGACUGCUGCAACCGAACAAAGCAUGUCCAUAUUAUGUUGUUGAUGCAUAACCAAAUUCCUCAUUGUUUCAUAACUAUUGCCAUCCUCACUAUCACUAUCCGAUGACAUCUGCCAUAUCAAACAAUAGUUAGCAUCAAGAUAAUAAUAGGUUCACCAACAUAGGCAUUAAAUAUUAUUCCAAUAGCACAAGAUAGUAAUAGGUUCACCAACAUAGGCAUAAAUAUUGUUCUCAUAGCACAACAUAAUAAAAGGUUCACCAACAAAGGCAUAAAUAUUGUUCUCAUAACACAAGAUAAUAAAAGGUUCACCAACAAAGGCAUAAAUAUUGUUCUCAUAGCACAACAUAAUAAAAGGUUCACCAACAAAGGCAUAAAUAUUGUUCUCAUAGCACAACAUAAUAAUAGGUUCACCAACAUAGGCAUAAAUAUUGUUCCCAUCGCUCCAAGAUAAUAAAAGGUUCACCAACAAAGGCAUAAAUAUUGUUCUCAUAGCACAACAUAAUAAUAGGUUCACCAACAUAGGCAUAAAUAUUGUUCCCAUCGCCCAAGAUAAGAUGUAACGAACUAGUUGCCAUACUUGAGGUCAAACCUCCUACGCAACCAACCCAUUCUAGAGUCGGAUGUCAUGUGCAAGAACAUUUCCCUUCGCUCUUUCUUCAGAAAGAGCUCAGUAGCAAUGAAGUGCUCAUCAGUGCCAUCUAUUGCGCCACAAGCACGAACUAAAUCCAUGGUAGAUGCAACAGAGGUGGUCUCAUCUUUCUGUAGGAAAGACUAAAAUGAUGUAUGCGAAGCAUGUGCAAUGGAACUAAUCUUUUUUAUCUCCUCUUGCAUCACUUGUGCAGUCUUUGGUUUCUUGUUCUUCUCCGGAAUCUUGACCCCAAGCCUCACUUUAGAUGCACUAGCUAUUGUCGGAGAUGCUUGCUCUUCGGUAUCAUCCUCCAAAUCAAGAUCGGUGAUUUCAUCAACAUUCAANNNN